Long non-coding RNA from Esox lucius (northern pike), 2447 nucleotides. RefSeq lists it as uncharacterized. The transcript has 3 exons. The record is from RefSeq and is a predicted model, not a curated record. NCBI's taxonomy places the organism in Eukaryota, Metazoa, Chordata, Actinopteri, Esociformes, Esocidae.
UUUAAAAUGGGGAGGAUAUGUGCUAGUGUUGUUCUCUCAUGAUGAGCCCGGAAUGGUCGUGACUGCCAAUCAUUCCAGACAGAACAUUGCUAUUCAUGAUCUCAGUGGCAGAGUGUGGACUGGAGAGACAGGAAACUCUUAAUCAUAGACAGGAAGGAACACAGAGGGAGCUGCAGUGUCUCUGUGGUCAGACCGAAUGGAAAAGAGGAGAGAAAGAGAGAGAGUGUAUGUAAUAAGACUGUACUUUUCAGGGUUGGCAGAUCGCCCCAGAUCGCCCCAUGCUCGUUAUUUGGAUUUAUGUGUGAGACACAUUAACAGUAGAAUGGCAUGCAGAACUCCUACACCUCUCCACCUUCCUCAGACUGAGUUCAGAGGAGAGGAAAAGGUCAUUGUGAACGCCAGCUGGUCCAAAGGCCAGCUGGUCCAAAUCUCUAGGGUACAUGGAGUCAUCGGAUGGGAAAGACCUUCAUGGCGCCAGCAGCAAACUGGAAUAUUUGUCCAAAGAGUUUUUGGAGGUUCAAUCGUUGAAGAGGGUUGAGAGCACACUCAACCCACGUCCCCCGGUCCGGAAUAAUGGGCUGUUACUGUAGCUGUUUCUCAAUGUCAAGGAAGGAUCCUUCGAAGCCAGAAUUUGGAGGAUGCUACGUCAUCGACGUCCGUCGAAGGACCGUUCCAAUGUUGAGGAUCCUCCGAAUCCCACCAAGGGGGAGAAUUCGUUCGGAGAAUUUCCCAUAGACGGCAAAGGAUGCAUAUGUGUAUCCUUCGCGCUCCUAUAUUACCCACAAUCCUAUGCACAUGGCUUUGCCAGCUCGUAAAUGACGUAAUGACGUGUACUUGGUAGCCUGUUCCAUUGUACGUGUUCUUCGAAUGCUAAUGAGGAGCCUGGCCUAGCCUCUGAAGGAUCCUUCCUUGGAAGGACUAGUCCUACCAAGGAAGGAUCCUUGACAUUGAGAAACAGCUUGUGUCUUUCUGUUUGAUUCGUCAACAGGGUAGCCAAAACAAGUGCCUAGUACUGCAGCAAAAACUUUGUCUAGCAUGUCUUCUCAUGCACCUAACUACCGUAUAUCAAUGUUUUUUCAUCGCUUUGCUGAUCAGUGGACAGUAUAUAGCCUCUGUCAAAUAUGUAGCUUAAAGUGCCUGAAGACUCAACAUCAAAUCUUGUAAUGUUCACACAAUAUGCUCGUUAAGAAAAGUUAGUAUCAUCUUAAACACCCACCAAGAUACGAACCCAAAUAACAGCCCAUAACUAGAGGAAAAUGCACUUUCAAAAAAGAUGUCGCCACAUACAGUACAUUACCUAUGGCAGUGAAAACACAUGCAAUGUAAAAUGUGGCACAACUUCAGGUAACCUUUUCCCCAGAUCAGAAGUGCACUAAACUUAUUUUCAUCCAGCCAAUGUAGUGUGUGAUUGUAUAGGUAGCUACAUUUGCAGCUAAUGCAAGCUAAUGUUACCUGCUUGUAUAGCUAAUAAUAGCGCUAACUUAUACUAGCUAGCAUUUAGCAAAUACGAUCAAGGCAGAUAGGUAGAUAUGUCUUAAUCCCACCAAUAAAUAUCCAAGAAAUUGAAAAGAAAUUAAAUGCUUGGAGCAAGAUUAAUCAAAAUAGCAAUUAAAAUUGUACCUACUAAAGCACUGAAAUAAUAGAUUUUUAAGAGUAUUGCAAAAGUUUGUUUUCUACCCUUUUAAAGAUGAGUUAGUAUUUGCCUGUAUUUUUUUUACAUCAAAGAUGUUGGGCUCCUACUGAUUAAAAUAAAUAGGUUUUUACAUGACAAAUUGACGUGUUGGCUUGGCUUCUGCUAUAGCUAGCUUUUUUUUUUCAAACAAGUUAUCUGGACACUAGUACCCACUCUUUCUUUCCCUCAGCUCCUGAUCUUUCAAGAACAUUAUUUUAGGAGUUGCCUGAAGGGUGAGAGAAAUAGGAGAUAGAGGACUACAAUUUUGCUGAGGAACAGGACUCAUAAUGAGUACAACCAGCUACUCUUCUGAACUUUGUGUGGUGAGCUUUCUGGCGCCUAGAGCUACUGAGGCAUCACCCAAGCAGAUACCACACAGAAUGGAAGAGAAGUCCAGUGGCUUAAAUAACAGGCUGUUUCCCAGACUUGCCAACUAAAAGAUCAUCAACAGAAUCCAUCACCAUCAUCUACCCUCUAACUCUGAACUCCUCUCUUCAGUCAACCUCUGACCUCAACCUCUCCAUCUUUGGAAGAUGCAGCAUUUAAUCAUUUGGCAUUGGUUGGCUGGGGUGGUUGGCUGACCUGUAAUCAAAUGCUUGUUAGUUUUUUUGCUCUUGAAGUGUUUGAAAGUUCUAUAAAUUAUUAUACUAUAUACAGUAUAUGUGGCUUUUGUACAGUACAGUACCAGGCAAAGGUUUACUCAUUCAAGGGUGUUUCUAUAUUUGUACUGUUUUCCACAUUGCAGCAUAAUAAUGAAAACAUCAGAACUAUGAAA